ACGGCUCAGUAACACGUGGACAACCUACCCUCAGCACGGGGAUAAACCCGGGAAACUGGGUAUAAUACCCGAUAGUUCUGGGAUGCUGGAAUGCUUCCAGGACGAAAGCUCCGGCGACUGAGGAUGGGUCUGCGGCCUAUCAGGUAGUAGUGGGUGUAAUGUACCUACUAGCCUACGACGGGUACGGGUCGUGAGAGCGAGAGCCCAGAGAUGGAUUCUGAGACACGAAUCCAGGCCCUACGGGGUGCAGCAGGCGCGAAAACUUUACAAUGCUGGCAACAGCGAUAAGGGGACCUCGAGUGCCAGGAUACAAUCUUGGCUGUCGUGAUGCCUAAAAAGCAUUACAUAGCAAGGGCCGGGCAAGACCGGUGCCAGCCGCCGCGGUAACACCGGCGGCUCGAGUGGUAACCGCUAUUAUUGGGUCUAAGGGGUCUGUAGCCGGCCGGAUAAGUCUUUUGGGAAAUCCAGCUGCUCAACAGUUGGGCUUUCAGAAGAUACUGUUCGGCUCGAGGCCGGGAGAGGUGAGAGGUACUUCAGGGGUAGGGGUGAAAUCUUGUAAUCCUUGAAGGACCACCAGUGGCGAAGGCGUCUCACCAGAACGGUCCUGACGGCAAGGGACGAAAGCUAGGGGCACGAACCGGAUUAGAUACCCGGGUAGUCCUAGCCGUAAACGAUACUCGCUAGGUGUCAGCCACGGUGCGACCGUGGUUGGUGCCGUAGGGAAGCCGUGAAGCGAGCCACCUGGGAAGUACGGCCGCAAGGCUGAAACUUAAAGGAAUUGGCGGGGGAGCAC
Molecule: ribosomal RNA, 793 nt
Filed under: uncultured archaeon
Lineage: Archaea
Description: bacterial SSU rRNA
Rfam family: Archaeal small subunit ribosomal RNA
Source: RNAcentral